RNAcentral lists this ribosomal RNA (742 nucleotides) under Citricoccus sp. Its description in RNAcentral is "bacterial SSU rRNA". It matches the Rfam family "Bacterial small subunit ribosomal RNA", at positions 129 to 883 of the family's 1533-position model. Lineage: Bacteria; Bacillati; Actinomycetota; Actinomycetes; Micrococcales; Micrococcaceae. The record is from RNAcentral.
CCCUUGACUCUGGGAUAAGCCUGGGAAACCGGGUCUAAUACCGGAUGCGACCUCUCACCGCAUGGUGGGGGGUGGAAAGAUUUAUCGGUCUUGGAUGGACUCGCGGCCUAUCAGCUUGUUGGUGGGGUAAUGGCCCACCAAGGCGACGACGGGUAGCCGGCCUGAGAGGGUGACCGGCCACACUGGGACUGAGACACGGCCCAGACUCCUACGGGAGGCAGCAGUGGGGAAUAUUGCACAAUGGGCGCAAGCCUGAUGCAGCGACGCCGCGUGAGGGAUGACGGCCUUCGGGUUGUAAACCUCUUUCAGUAGGGAAGAAGCGAAAGUGACGGUACCUGCAGAAGAAGCGCCGGCUAACUACGUGCCAGCAGCCGCGGUAAUACGUAGGGCGCGAGCGUUAUCCGGAAUUAUUGGGCGUAAAGAGCUCGUAGGCGGUUUGUCGCGUCUGCCGUGAAAGUCCGGGGCUUAACCCCGGAUCUGCGGUGGGUACGGGCAGACUGGAGUGCAGUAGGGGAGACUGGAAUUCCUGGUGUAGCGGUGAAAUGCGCAGAUAUCAGGAGGAACACCGAUGGCGAAGGCAGGUCUCUGGGCUGUUACUGACGCUGAGGAGCGAAAGCAUGGGGAGCGAACAGGAUUAGAUACCCUGGUAGUCCAUGCCGUAAACGUUGGGCACUAGGUGUGGGGGCCAUUCCACGGUUUCCGCGCCGCAGCUAACGCAUUAAGUGCCCCGCCUGGGGAGUAC